UACGUAGGGUGCAAGCGUUAAUCGGAAUUACUGGGCGUAAAGCGUGCGCAGGCGGUGAUGUAAGACAGGUGUGAAAUCCCGGGCUUAACCUGGGAACUGCAUUUGUGACUGCAUCGCUGGAGUGCGGCAGAGGGGAUGGAAUUCCGCGUGUAGCAGUGAAAUGCGUAGGGAUGUGGAGGAACACCGAUGGCGAAGGCAGCCCCUGGGUCAAGAUUGACGCUCAUGCACGAAAGCGUGGGGAGCAAACAG
RNAcentral lists this ribosomal RNA (249 nucleotides) under uncultured bacterium. RNAcentral's name for it is "partial 16S ribosomal RNA". It matches the Rfam family "Bacterial small subunit ribosomal RNA", at positions 524 to 775 of the family's 1533-position model. The record is from RNAcentral.